Myodes glareolus (Bank vole) is the source of this 775-nucleotide long non-coding RNA. RefSeq lists it as uncharacterized. The record is from RefSeq and is a predicted model, not a curated record. Lineage: Eukaryota; Metazoa; Chordata; Mammalia; Rodentia; Cricetidae.
UUAGAGCAGGUCGGAACCAGUCCUCCUCUAGUCUGAUCGGGCACGUGGACAGUGAGAUUUGCCCGGUUAAAGGUCCUCUUACGCCCAUGGUUCUCAGUCGCUGCAUCAACUUCAUCAGAAUACAGAUUCCCAGUCUGACAUUUAUUCAAGAUACACAGUAUUCCAGGAGAGUUGGGUGCAAACUUGGAUUCGAGAACCUACGGUCUGUAUUGUUUUCAGGGCUGUCCAGAGACUGCUUGGAGAAAAAGCAGGCGAGAGAGACUGAGUAGAAGGGAGUUUCUGGCCGGAUGCUAAGACAGCAGGUCUGAACAGCACCCAUGGAGUGUCUUGUACCAGGAAAGGAGGGCCCUGGGCUCUCAGCUUCUGUGCAGCUUCCCUUCAAUGGCCCAGUCCAUAGUGGAUGCCUGAUCUUCAUUGCCAAGUUAAGGAGCUGAAGUUAGCUGGGACACAAGCCCCUUGGUGUACCUAUCCAUGAGGUUGCACCCUGAGAGGUUUGACUAAGCUGGGAAGACCUCCCCUGGAUGUUCAUGGUACUAUUUAAGAGUCUGGGCUCCUGUGCUGAGUGGAGAGGUGUGAACUUCUCAUUGGUGUUCGCCUUCCUACUCCUGACUAUGGCUACAAUGCCACCAGCGGUCUCCUGCUCCUGUUCCACAGCUAGGGCUGCCCUUGCCAUCAAGCCUGCCCUGCCAUGAUCUGUAUCCUCGGACUGUGCACCAAAGUAAGACCUUUCUUCUGUAAGUUGCUUCUAUCAGAAACAGGAAAAAUAAUGAACUCA